RNAcentral lists this ribosomal RNA (252 nucleotides) under uncultured bacterium. Its description in RNAcentral is "partial 16S ribosomal RNA". It matches the Rfam family "Bacterial small subunit ribosomal RNA", at positions 525 to 776 of the family's 1533-position model. The record is from RNAcentral.
ACGAACUGUGCGAACGUUAUUCGGAAUCACUGGGCUUACAGGGUGCGUAGGCGGCUUGUUAAGUAGGGUGUGAAAUCCCCCGGCCCAACCGGGGAAUUGCGCUCUAAACUGGCAGGCUUGAGUAAGCUAGGGGUGCACGGAACUUCCAGUGGAGCGGUGAAAUGUGUUGAUAUUGGAAGGAACACCGGAGGCGAAAGCGGUGCACUGGGGCUUAACUGACGCUGAGGCACGAAAGCCAGGGGAGCGAACGGG